AUUCCAGCUCCAAUAGCGUAUAUUAAAGUUGUUGCGGUUAAAAAGCUCGUAGUUGGAUUUCUGCUGAGGACGACCGGUCCGCCCUCUGGGUGAGUAUCUGGCUUGGCCUUGGCAUCUUCUUGGAGAACGUAGCUGCACUUGACUGUGUGGUGCGGUAUCCAGGACUUUUACUUUGAGGAAAUUAGAGUGUUUCAAGCAGGCACACGCCUUGAAUACAUUAGCAUGGAAUAAUAAGAUAGGACCUUGGUUCUAUUUUGUUGGUUUCUAGGACUGAAGUAAUGAUUGAUAGGGAUAGUUGGGGGUGCUAGUAUUCAGCGGCCAGAGGUGAAAUUCUUGGAUUCGCUGAAGACUAACUUAUGCGAAAGCAUUCACCAAGGAUGUCUUCAUUA
Molecule: ribosomal RNA, 389 nt
Filed under: Peridiniales sp.
Lineage: Eukaryota; Dinophyceae; Peridiniales
Description: partial small subunit ribosomal RNA
Rfam family: Eukaryotic small subunit ribosomal RNA
Source: RNAcentral